UGGGGAAUAUUGGACAAUGGGGGGAACCCUGAUCCAGCCAUGCCGCGUGUGUGAAGAAGGCCUUAUGGUUGUAAAGCACUUUAAGCGAGGAGGAGGGUACUGGUAUUAAUACUACCAGCUACUGGACGUUACUCGCAGAAUAAGCACCGGCUAACUCUGUGCCAGCAGCCGCGGUAAUACAGAGGGUGCGAGCGUUAAUCGGAUUUACUGGGCGUAAAGCGUGCGUAGGCGGCUAAUUGAGUCGGAUGUGAAAUCCCCGAGCUUAACUUGGGAAUUGCAUUCGAUACUGGUUAGCUAGAGUGUGGGAGAGGAUGGUAGAAUUCCAGGUGUAGCGGUGAAAUGCGUAGAGAUCUGGAGGAACACCAGUGGCGAAGGCGACCACCUGGGCUCAUACUGACACUGAGGUGCGAAAGCGUGGGGAGCAAACAGG
This 430-nucleotide ribosomal RNA is filed under the name Pseudomonadota bacterium. RNAcentral's name for it is "Proteobacteria bacterium partial 16S ribosomal RNA". It matches the Rfam family "Bacterial small subunit ribosomal RNA", at positions 355 to 776 of the family's 1533-position model. The record is from RNAcentral. Lineage: Bacteria; Pseudomonadati; Pseudomonadota.